Long non-coding RNA from Venturia canescens, 339 nucleotides. RefSeq lists it as uncharacterized. The record is from RefSeq and is a predicted model, not a curated record. The transcript is spliced from 3 exons. NCBI's taxonomy places the organism in Eukaryota, Metazoa, Arthropoda, Insecta, Hymenoptera, Ichneumonidae.
GAGGACUCUCAACUAAAACCCCCGGCGCCCAAGAAACGCUCGGCGCCUAAGAAACGCCCGACGCCCAAGAAAAAUCAGGCGCGCGAGGAACAGAAUGUUUUAUGAAGUGAGUGCAGCAGUCAUGUGAGACACGUUUCGGUAAUAACGAGCUUUGGAUGGAAUGUGAAAAUAUUUGUGAACCGUCCUGUACAAAAAACGCCAAUCGUAGAUGCCCUCUGAUAUGUGCCUCUGGAUGCAAGUGCAAACCAGGAUUUUUAAGAAGAAAAGACGGGGCCUGUGUCACAGAAGAAAAUUGCACGGUGUAAUUGAUUUCAUAAACAUGAGACAUUUGAAAAUGAA